GACGAACGCUGGCGGCGUGCUUAACACAUGCAAGUCGAGCGAGAAAGCUCCUUCGGGAGCGAGUACAGCGGCGAACGGGUGAGUAACACGUGGGCAACCUGCCCUCAGGAGCGGGACAACCCGAGGAAACUCGGGCUAAUACCGCAUAAUCCGUCGUGUCUCAAGGCGCGACGGCAAAUGGUAGCUUCGGCCUCCGCCUGAGGAUGGGCCCGCGGCGCAUUAGCNGUUGGUGGGGUAAGUGGCUCACCAAGGCGACCGAUGCGUAGCUGGUCUGAGAGGACGAUCAGCCA
RNAcentral lists this ribosomal RNA (290 nucleotides) under uncultured bacterium. RNAcentral describes it as "partial 16S ribosomal RNA". It matches the Rfam family "Bacterial small subunit ribosomal RNA", at positions 28 to 310 of the family's 1533-position model. The record is from RNAcentral.